RNAcentral lists this unclassified non-coding RNA (841 nucleotides) under Hevea brasiliensis (rubber tree). The record is from RNAcentral. Lineage: Eukaryota; Viridiplantae; Streptophyta; Magnoliopsida; Malpighiales; Euphorbiaceae.
CUCUGAUGAGCCCAUUGUUGCCCCAAUAAACUUAGUUACAUUAGGAUGAUCAAGCUUGUGCCACACAGCAACUUCUUGUGUAAAAGCUGCUCUAAGUGAGGCUAUUUCAGCCUCUGACCUGUGACCCUCCUCCCCCCAAUCAAGAAGUUUAACAGCAACAUCUUGGCCAUCAUAAAUGCCACGGUGAACGGUGCCAAAGGUGCCACGAGCUAUAACACCUUUGAUGAUGAGCUUAGAUGGGGCAAUCUCCCAUUCUUGCCUUGUUAUAGUGUUGGUUAGAGGACUUUGCACUACUGUUUCUCCUUCUUCUCCAUCUUUCUUGUUCUUGUUCUUCUCCAUAGUCCAUGCUCUACUUAGAUGCCUCUGGAGUUGCUCGUCCAGGCUCUUCAGAUCUAUCUGAUCUGCUCUCACAUAUCCACCACCACUUUCACUCUUCCCCUUCAUUUCUUUGUGAAAGGAGUCUUUUCUUGUGGAAAAAAGAGCAAAAGACUCUUCCUUUCUCGGUAGAAGAGUGUCUGUGGGCGUUGUUCAAAUGCAAAGGACAAAGAAGACAAAGAGUAACUGCCUGUGAACCUGUGGGUUCUGUUUCUGUAGUAGUAGCAGUAGUAAUAGACUAAUAGUGUAGUAGACUAGUAGUAGUUUUAGACUUUCUAAGUUUCAAGUAUACUGUAUGCCUGUAUCUAUAGUAGUGAUGGUGAUGGUGAUGAUGUGAUUACCAUUAUAAUAAUCUAACAAUAACAAUACUAAGCAUAAUCAAUAUGGUGGUCUCUUUCUCUCUGUGAGUGCUUCUGUACUAGCAAGAGCAAUGGUAGAAGAGAAGAAGCUUAUUAUAAAUUAAAAU